This 770-nucleotide long non-coding RNA is filed under the name Gossypium barbadense (sea-island cotton). RNAcentral describes it as "long non-coding RNA (GBAR_LNC023366)". The record is from RNAcentral. Lineage: Eukaryota; Viridiplantae; Streptophyta; Magnoliopsida; Malvales; Malvaceae.
UUCGAUCUCAUACCAAGCCCUACUUUGACAUUUCAUACAUUACACCAUAUGACAUUGGAUGCAUUUAUCUUCAAGUAUAAUCACCACAUAGGUUCAAGACUUACCAAGCUCAAUCCCAAAUAUAAAUAAAAUGUCUAUUCCUCAUGAGCUCAAGGUGUUUACUCGUACCGUUGUCCAUGAUUGACUCGAUAAGGCCGCACACUUAGAGCAUGCAUAUUUAUUAGAGAAUGUAUAAUAAGCCCGCACACUUAGUGCUUAAUAGUCGAACUCGCACACUUAGUGCUAUAUAAUCAACCUCGCACACUUAGUGCUAUACAAUUUGAACCCGCACACUUAGUGCCAAUCUCAUGAUCAUAAAUGUUUACACCCGCACACUUAGUGCCGAAACCAACAACUCAAUACAUCUCACCUCUUUUCUUUUUCAUUCAAUACUUUCAUCACCCCAUGCAUACAUGUAUAUAUAUAUUUAUCAUUCCAUUCAGCAUCAUUACAUAGACGUUAUGACCAUUUAAAUUAAUACAAAAUAUAUGCUUAAUGACUUACCUUGUGUUGGGUAAGACGGUUCCAACUCGGCUACUCGAUGAUCUUUUCUUUGCCUUCGCUUGAUUCUCCUCCUUUAACUCCUUGAGCUUAAUCAAUAAAUCAACUAGUUUAACCAUCUUGCUAAACAUUCAUAAUUCAAUUACACAUGCAUAUGUAUGUUUGUAUAUUCGGCAACCAUCCUCACAAUUACCCAUUUAGUCUAUUAUACACAUAAUUAAAGGUAACAU